Molecule: ribosomal RNA, 342 nt
Filed under: uncultured cyanobacterium
Lineage: Bacteria; Bacillati; Cyanobacteriota
Description: bacterial SSU rRNA
Rfam family: Bacterial small subunit ribosomal RNA
Source: RNAcentral
UACAGGUGGUGCAUGGCUGUCGUCAGCUCGUGUCGUGAGAUGUUGGGUUAAGUCCCGCAACGAGCGCAACCCUUAUUUUUAGUUACCAAUUCGUUGGGUUUUUUAGAAAGACUGCCGGUGACAAACCGGAGGAAGGUGAGGAUGACGUCAAGUCAGCAUGCCCCUUAUGUCCUGGGCUACACACGUGCUACAAUGGUUAAGACAAAGAGUCGCAAGCUCGUGAGAGUAAGCUAAUCUAAUAAACUUAGCCUAAGUUCAGAUUGUAGGCUGCAACUCGCCUGCAUGAAGUUGGAAUCGCUAGUAAUCGCUGGUCAGCCAUACAGCGGUGAAUCCGUUCCCGGG